UUUAAUUCGAAGCAACGCGAAGAACCUUACCAGGCCUUGACAUGCAGAGAACUUUCCAGAGAUGGAUUGGUGCCUUCGGGAACUCUGACACAGGUGCUGCAUGGCUGUCGUCAGCUCGUGUCGUGAGAUGUUGGGUUAAGUCCCGUAACGAGCGCAACCCUUGUCAUUAGUUGCCAUCAUUUGGUUGGGCACUCUAAUGAGACUGCCGGUGACAAACCGGAGGAAGGUGGGGAUGACGUCAAGUCCUCAUGGCCCUUAUGGGUAGGGCUUCACACGUCAUACAAUGGUCGGUACAGAGGGUUGCCAACCCGCGAGGGGGAGCUAAUCCCACAAAGCCGAUCGUAGUCCGGAUCGCAGUCUGCAACUCGACUGCGUGAAGUCGGAAUCGCUAGUAAUCGUGGAUCAGCAUGUCACGGUGAAUACGUUCCCGGGUCUU
This 436-nucleotide ribosomal RNA is filed under the name uncultured Pseudomonadaceae bacterium. RNAcentral's name for it is "bacterial SSU rRNA". It matches the Rfam family "Bacterial small subunit ribosomal RNA", at positions 945 to 1382 of the family's 1533-position model. The record is from RNAcentral. Lineage: Bacteria; Pseudomonadati; Pseudomonadota; Gammaproteobacteria; Pseudomonadales; Pseudomonadaceae.